UACGUAGGGACCGAGCGUUGUCCGGAAUCAUUGGGCGUAAAGCGCGCGUAGGCGGCCCGGUAAGUCCGCUGUGAAAGUCAAAGGCUCAACCUUUGAAUGUCAGCGGAUACUGCCGGGCUAGAGUCCGGAAGAGGCGAGUGGAACUCCUGGUGUAGCGGUGGAAUGCGCAGAUAUCAGGAAGAACACCAACGGCGAAGGCAGCUCGCUGGGACGGAACUGACGCUGAGGCGCGAAAGCGUGGGGAGCGAACAGG
This 253-nucleotide ribosomal RNA is filed under the name uncultured bacterium. RNAcentral's name for it is "partial 16S ribosomal RNA". It matches the Rfam family "Bacterial small subunit ribosomal RNA", at positions 524 to 776 of the family's 1533-position model. The record is from RNAcentral.